This 89-nucleotide ribosomal RNA is filed under the name Enterococcus cecorum. Its description in RNAcentral is "partial 23S ribosomal RNA". It matches the Rfam family "Bacterial large subunit ribosomal RNA", at positions 1 to 88 of the family's 2925-position model. The record is from RNAcentral. Lineage: Bacteria; Bacillati; Bacillota; Bacilli; Lactobacillales; Enterococcaceae.
AGGUUAAGUGAAUAAGGGCGCACGGUGGAUGCCUUGGCACUAGGAGCCGAUGAAGGACGGGACUAACACCGAUAUGCUUCGGGGAGCUG